Tachysurus fulvidraco (yellow catfish) is the source of this 2390-nucleotide long non-coding RNA. RefSeq lists it as uncharacterized. The record is from RefSeq and is a predicted model, not a curated record. The transcript has 2 exons. Lineage: Eukaryota; Metazoa; Chordata; Actinopteri; Siluriformes; Bagridae.
CAUUGCUUUCUCUAUAUAUACCCCCUCCCCCUCUCAUCUUCUACGGGGUAAAAUAACGGGAUGCACUUAUUUCCAGGGAUUAUUUUAGAACAGCGUAACAGAUAUUGCUUCAUCGGGUAGGCGUGGCCUAUUUGAUAAUCUAACCCUAACCAAAACAGUAGUUUUUGGUUUAUUUGUUUUCUAAAAUAAAUCUACCCGUAUAACUGUUUUGUCCUUCGUAGUAUGCUGUUUUGUUUUGUUUUUUGAAGAGGGCGUUUUUCCAAGACCUCCGGAAACACGCCCACUUUACCUCAUGUUAACGAAACUCCUGGAAUUUCGUGAAUUCCAAAUAACUGCUUGUUUCGGACGCGUCCGAGAACCGAUGAACUGUUGAUACUGCGCAUGCUUGAAUAACCGAACUGAUACAGCGAAUCAUCAGUACACUGAAUGAUGAAGGAAUUUACGUCAGGACGUAAACGAACUGGUGAACUGGACAUUUGAACUGAUUCAUUAAAACGAAUUGUUCGAAAGAACCGGUUCGCGGAAAAGAAAAGAACUUCCCAUCUGUACUCUGUAUUUGAUAAAGUUGACUUGUGUGUCAGACUGAUUUUCUAUUGAUCGCUUAUGCCUGGCAGUUGCGAAAGUCAGUAAAAGAAGCACACGGCUCAAAAGCACAUGUCUCGUGUCGUUCAUUAAAAUACACAUACAGUAUACAACACCCAUCAUCCCAUAACUUACAUACGAGAGCCUAGUGUCAUCUCGCCUCCACAGCACUAGAUGGUGAUACAGAGUCAGGAUGCUGACAGAUUCUCUGACUAAGUAAUGUAAACAGGACGUCGCUUUCUGUACUUGCAUGACCAAUGGUUAAAAAUAGAUCAGGAUGGUUUGCUUCUGCAUUUGGGAUUAGAAUAAAAGUGUAUUUUUUUUUUCUUGGAUGACUGAAGAAGUGAGAGAUAAGGUUCUAACAUCUGUAAUGCCCGAAAUGCCAAAUCAUCUUAGGAGUCAUGGAGACUGGUUUGCCAUCUGCUCCAAGCCUACAAAAUAGAACAAAACACACGACAUGUAAAACCUAAAAAUGGCUGCAUCUUAUCACUGCAAAAUAUCGAUCUACUCUCUGACUUGAGCUGCCCUGUACAAGCUAAACAGGAAUCGGAUCCAUCUCAAUCAGAAUAUUUACCUUGUCCUAAGUUUGAGGAGUUAAAGAAAGAGUCUACUGUGAUGAAUGAAUUAAUUAAAAUGGAACCGCAUGAUGACUUUAACUCUAGUCUGACCAUAACCACUGAAGCGUCACACUGGAGUGAUGAUAACUUACCACACGGACUGAUUCCUCCUGUUGAAAUGGAAGAUGAGUAUGAUGUAAAAUGUCCCAAAAACUUCAGUGCAUGUCGAAAAACCAAAAGUUUAAAUAAAAAAAGAAGUGCUGUCAAAGUAAAGCUUCAUGAUUCAAAUACAGACAAGAAAUAUACAAGAAAACAGAGAAAGGCACAGAAACAAACCAAAUAUCAUUGUGUCAAGGGCCAUGAUGGCAGGACGUUGUUAAAAACACACACACACACUCACAGUGAAGAAGCAUUCCGGUGUGAAAGUUGUGGAAAACAGUUCAGAAGGUAUGACCUUCUCAGCGACCACAGGAGAGGGCACAGCAGAAAAAGACCAUAUGCCUGCGAUCAGUGCGGCAUGAUGUUUUCCAAACCUGCUUAUCUGAAAAUCCAUCUGCGCAGACAUGCUGGCGAAAGGGCAUUUCCUUGUGACAAGUGUGACAAAAGAUUUUUCGACAAGUACGACUUAGUAGUGCAUCAGCGAGAUCACACAGGUGAGAGACCAUACGAGUGCCGAGAGUGUGGAAAGAGCUUCAAGCGAAUUUAUAUACUGAACAAGCACAAGAAAACGCAUUCUAAUGAAAAACUGUUUGAGUGUAACGUCUGUGGAAAAGCCUAUAAAUAUGGUUACAGUUAUAGGUUACACAUGAAAACUCAUUCGGCAUAGAUUUUAUCAUAGUCACACAGCAAAAUUAAAAUCUGAAUUUCUGAAGGUCUUUUUUUUUUUUUUUUUUUAACUGAUGCAUUUUGUUGACAUCUUGUUUUCCUUAGCCUGGCUAGACAGAUAUAAAAUGUUUUAACAUAUCAUAUUGUUAAAUAUAACUUUUUCAAAUUUUCAAGUUGAUAAAUAUAUUUAUGCAAUUAUUUUUGCAGUACUGAGAAUUUAUGGAAUUGGUUAUUUGAUGUUCACGUGACUACUGUGUAUCCAAAUUAGAGUCUAUAUGAAAAAAAUGCACUGAUUAUUUCAGAUUGUGUGUAAUGACUGUAUAAUAAUUCUGCAAUUUGAUUAAGUGGUGAUGUCUUUUAACUCCUCAAUGCCAUUGUUUACUGUAUAUACUUUUUUAAGUAUAAUAAUAAACAUUUUUGGAGAUG